RNAcentral lists this transfer RNA (71 nucleotides) under Candidatus Pacearchaeota archaeon. RNAcentral describes it as "tRNA-Trp". It matches the Rfam family "tRNA". From Rfam's summary of the family: Transfer RNA (tRNA) molecules are approximately 80 nucleotides in length. Their secondary structure includes four short double-helical elements and three loops (D, anti-codon, and T loops). The record is from RNAcentral. Lineage: Archaea; Nanobdellati.
GGGGACAUCGUCUAAUGGUAGGGUGUCCGGCUCCAGACCGGAAGAUGGGGGUUCGAUUCCUCCUGUCCCCA